This 647-nucleotide ribosomal RNA is filed under the name uncultured bacterium. RNAcentral describes it as "bacterial SSU rRNA". It matches the Rfam family "Bacterial small subunit ribosomal RNA", at positions 60 to 706 of the family's 1533-position model. The record is from RNAcentral.
AGUCGAACGGUAACAGGUCUUCGGAUGCUGACGAGUGGCGAACGGGUGAGUAAUACAUCGGAACGUGCCCGAUCGUGGGGGAUAACGAGGCGAAAGCUUUGCUAAUACCGCAUACGAUCUACGGAUGAAAGCGGGGGAUCUUCGGACCUCGCGCGGACGGAGCGGCCGAUGGCAGAUUAGGUAGUUGGUGGGGUAAAAGCUUACCAAGCCGACGAUCUGUAGCUGGUCUGAGAGGAUGAUCAGCCACACUGGGACUGAGACACGGCCCAGACUCCUACGGGAGGCAGCAGUGGGGAAUUUUGGACAAUGGGCGAAAGCCUGAUCCAGCCAUGCCGCGUGCAGGAUGAAGGCCUUCGGGUUGUAAACUGCUUUUGUACGGAACGAAAAGCCUCUUUCUAAUAAAGAGGGGUCAUGACGGUACCGUAAGAAUAAGCACCGGCUAACUACGUGCCAGCAGCCGCGGUAAUACGUAGGGUGCAAGCGUUAAUCGGAAUUACUGGGCGUAAAGCGUGCGCAGGCGGUUUUGUAAGACAGAGGUGAAAUCCCCGGGCUCAACCUGGGAACUGCCUUUGUGACUGCAAGGCUGGAGUGCGGCAGAGGGGGAUGGAUUCCGCGUGUAGCAGUGAAUGCGUAGAUAUGCGGAGGAA